Molecule: ribosomal RNA, 454 nt
Filed under: uncultured Pseudomonas sp.
Lineage: Bacteria; Pseudomonadati; Pseudomonadota; Gammaproteobacteria; Pseudomonadales; Pseudomonadaceae
Description: bacterial SSU rRNA
Rfam family: Bacterial small subunit ribosomal RNA
Source: RNAcentral
ACAAGCGGUGGAGCAUGUGGUUAAUUCGAAGCAACGCGAAGAACCUUACCAGGCCUUGACAUGCAGAGAACUUCCAGAGAUGGAUUGGUGCCUUCGGGAACUCUGACACAGGUGCUGCAUGGCUGUCGUCAGCUCGUGUCGUGAGAUGUUGGGUUAAGUCCCGUAACGAGCGCAACCCUUGUCCUUAGUUACCAGCACGUUAUGGUGGCACUCUAAGGAGACUGCCGGUGACAAACCGGAGGAAGGUGGGAUGACGUCAAGUCAUCAUGGCCCUUACGGCCUGGGCUACACACGUGCUACAAUGGUCGGUACAAAGGGUUGCCAAGCCGCGAGGUGGAGCUAAUCCCAUAAAACCGAUCGUAGUCCGGAUCGCAGUCUGCAACUCGACUGCGUGAAGUCGGAAUCGCUAGUAAUCGUGAAUCAGAAUGUCACGGUGAAUACGUUCCCGGGCCUU